Molecule: ribosomal RNA, 79 nt
Filed under: Ornithinibacillus massiliensis
Lineage: Bacteria; Bacillati; Bacillota; Bacilli; Caryophanales; Bacillaceae
Description: partial 23S ribosomal RNA
Rfam family: Bacterial large subunit ribosomal RNA
Source: RNAcentral
UAUGAGGUUGAUAGGUCCGAGGUGGAAGCGUGGUGACACGUGGAGCUGACGGAUACUAAUAGAUCGAGGACUUAACUAA